GAUACCAUGACUUCCUAAGAAGUCUACACCGUUCUGACGAGCGAGAAGAGGAGAGAAGGAUCAGAAGGGAAAUUUCCAAGGGAAAUACAUGGAGAAUGAGCUCCAGUGAGGGGCGUUAAUGGAGAUAUGGGAGGAAGGACGGCUGGACGGGUGGUUGGACGCGUCGGCGCUGGGUAGAAGGAAUGGUUUUUAUUGUGGGGGCGUGGUGGGAAUUGACGAGAAUGGGCUUUCGGGUUACCAGUUGACGGCAAGGGUCUUGACGCUCGUGUGCGGAUUUGAAAGGCGAGUAGUGCAGUGUUCGGAGUGUUUCCAGGAGGAAUCUUUGGGGAGGUGGUGGCUGCCGCUGGAUGGUGGGCGCGUGUCCGUCGAAUGGGGCACUUGGGAUUGCCGUGAGAGGCUCUUACUCCCGAGGAUCCCCUGCUUCCGGUCCAACAGCGCCUAAUGGAUCGUCCUCCACGGACGUUUUACUGACGUGGCACGUGCAAUUCACGUAAAUGUUGAUUAGGUGGUAAGAAAGUUUUUUUUUAAUUAAACUUAGGAGUGCAAAUAGGU
This 552-nucleotide long non-coding RNA is filed under the name Phoenix dactylifera (date palm). Its description in RNAcentral is "long non-coding RNA (PDAC_LNC014890)". Lineage: Eukaryota; Viridiplantae; Streptophyta; Magnoliopsida; Arecales; Arecaceae. The record is from RNAcentral.